Molecule: non-coding RNA, 1160 nt
Organism: Microcebus murinus (gray mouse lemur)
Lineage: Eukaryota; Metazoa; Chordata; Mammalia; Primates; Cheirogaleidae
Source: RefSeq, a predicted model, not a curated record
CUUCCCGCCGCCCGCCCACUGCCUGCCCGCCCCGAGGUCCCUCCGCGGCGACGACGCCGGGCAGGCCGCGCCCGCCGCGCCUGCCAUGGGAGGUGGCACAGCACUUGGAUCUUCGAGCAGCUAUGUCCACAGAUACCUAAGGAUGCAAGACAGAGGAGAGAAAAGAAGGCAGAGCUGACCAGAGAGGAAAGGGAUUGCCUAUCAGGGAGUGAGCUGCCUGUCACUGCAAUUAUGCAAGCAGAGCUAGCUGGCAAGUGGUCAGACACGCUGGAGAAGGUGUUUCUACUAGGGCAGGUGGAAACCCUUGCAAAGUCACAAACUGGGUGCCGGCUUCCUCACCAAGACUUCUCAGGAAGACCCCGCCAGGUAUAGACACCCACGAUAUCCUCAGCCAGGGUGAUUCCCCAGGCUGGUUUCUCACUCUCCAAUUAUCCCUGCUCCAUUUGGCCACGAGUGGCUACCUUCCCUUCCAGAGACCUAGAGAAGGAAGAUGGCAAUCAGUCAUCAUUGCUCCAAUCCAUCCUUGCCCCAUCCUCUGCCAAGUGAGGAAUACAUAGAAGAGUACCCCACCGAAGGCUGACUUCUCUCUCAGGUUCUCACGAGAUGUACAUUGAUAUCGAGGGCAGAGCUCCAGGCUUACAAUCAGAAAACCUAGAAAUUCUAGCACUGAUUAGCUGUUGACUCAAAACAUGUUAUUUAAUGUCUGUGGGCCACUGUUUACUUAUGUCUAAAAUGGAAAUAGCACACCAGCCUCAUGGUGCAUCAGGAGGCUAAAGAGAUAAAAUACCUAACCCCUAGCACAUGGUAGUUGUUCUACUUGUGUCUGCUUCCUGCCCUCCUUCUCUCCUUUUUUCCUUCCUUUUGACCCUAGAUAAGUAGUUUCCAUCCUGGGGGAAAAAGGGUCCUGGACCAUAGAAGUCAGUGUGUGAAGGUACCCCUAGGGAUUCAGGGCAGAAAUUGUCAAUAUUUGCAAAAGCCUAACAGAACUGUCCCAUUUACUCUAGAUAAAAUGUCAAGUUUCUUUGCUUUGGACAGAUAUUGUAUCAUAUUACUUAUCUCAUGCUGAUUAAAAGUUCUUAUUCCAGUUCUAAUUGGCUGUUGAUUAAUAAUACAAAGAAGGGCCGGGCACAGUGGCUCAUGCCUGUAAUCCUAACACUCUG